Molecule: ribosomal RNA, 254 nt
Filed under: uncultured bacterium
Lineage: Bacteria
Description: partial 16S ribosomal RNA
Rfam family: Bacterial small subunit ribosomal RNA
Source: RNAcentral
UACGUAGGGUGCGAGCGUUGUCCGGAAUUACUGGGCGUAAAGAGCUCGUAGGCGGUGUGUCGCGUCGGCCGUGAAAACCUGGGGCUUAACUCUGGGCGUGCGGUCGAUACGGGCAUCACUAGAGUUCGGCAGGGGAGACUGGAAUUCCUGGUGUAGCGGUGAAAUGCGCAGAUAUCAGGAGGAACACCGGUGGCGAAGGCGGGUCUCUGGGCCGAUACUGACGCUGAGGAGCGAAAGCGUGGGGAGCGAACAGG